GGAGGAAUACCCAAGUUCGGCUGAAGGGAUCGGUCUUGAAAACCGACAGGCGGGUUAAACCGCGCGGGGGUUCGAAUCCCUCUUCCUCCUCCA
RNAcentral lists this transfer RNA (93 nucleotides) under Neobacillus niacini. It matches the Rfam family "tRNA". Rfam says of the family: Transfer RNA (tRNA) molecules are approximately 80 nucleotides in length. Their secondary structure includes four short double-helical elements and three loops (D, anti-codon, and T loops). Further hydrogen bonds mediate the characteristic L-shaped molecular structure. tRNAs have two regions of fundamental functional importance: the anti-codon, which is responsible for specific mRNA codon recognition, and the 3' end, to which the tRNAs corresponding amino acid is attached (by aminoacyl-tRNA synthetases). tRNAs cope with the degeneracy of the genetic code in two manners: having more than one tRNA (with a specific anti-codon) for a particular amino acid; and 'wobble' base-pairing, i.e. permitting non-standard base-pairing at the 3rd anti-codon position. The record is from RNAcentral. Lineage: Bacteria; Bacillati; Bacillota; Bacilli; Caryophanales; Bacillaceae. RNAcentral also lists the same sequence under 7 other names.